Argentina anserina (silverweed cinquefoil) is the source of this 7107-nucleotide RNA transcript. RefSeq lists it as uncharacterized. The record is from RefSeq and is a predicted model, not a curated record. The transcript has 5 exons. Lineage: Eukaryota; Viridiplantae; Streptophyta; Magnoliopsida; Rosales; Rosaceae.
UCAAGUUCUGGGUUCCUCUCUCUCUCUCUUUCAAAUUUGAAUUUCAAAUUUUGGGUUUCUGUUGCAACGAGAGAGAGAGAGAGAGAGAGAGAGAGAGAGAGAGAGAGAGAGAUGCAUUCAGCUUUGCCAUCGCAAGGUCAGUUUUGCUAUCUAUUUCUCUAUUCUUCAAUUACUUUUGUUUCGGUUUCAAUCGUCUUUACAAUUUUUAGUUCAAUCGGUUCAUUUCGAUCUAGGUUUUUUUUUUGUUUUUGUUCUAAUUCAAUUUCAGAUGUAUACGUUGUGUUGGGUUUCGGAUUUUCCCUUUGAUUAUUAAUUCGUAGGGAUUCGACCCUUCGAUUUUUGCCUCAUUUAUUUAGUGGGUUUGAUUAAAGAUCCAAUUUUUAUGCAUGAAAUUCCGAAUUUCAAUUACUGUUGCUUCCUCUUUUAUUGGGGUUGAGGAACCAUUUUUGAGUUUGUGAAUUUCACGAUGACCCAGUCGGAAUUUGAGGGUUUUCAUCUUUAAUCAUUCCCAUAAUUUGUUGAGAGAGUUUGUUUUUCCAGAGCUGUGUGCUUUGAGAAGACUAGUCUUAAUUGGUCCCUCGGAAAGAUUGCCCUCGUGAGAUUUAAUGUUGGUCUCAAGUGAUUGUUGCCCAACUUGAGAACCAACAAAGCAAAUCAUUGGCUGCUUAUAUUGUUGCCUUGACGGUUUUCAAACUAAGAUUGUUGCCUUCCGAUUAUGUUAACUAUGAUUGUUGCCUUGUCCGAUUCUGUUAAUUACAUGUUGGUCAAGUGAUUGUUGCCCCACUUGAGAUUUCAACAAAGCAAAUCAUUGACUGCUCAAGUUGUUGCCUUUAUCGGGUUUUAACUUACAUUGUUGCCCUUUCCAAUAAUGUUAACUAAGAUUGUUGCCUUGUCCGAUUAUGUUAGUAAGCUUGUUGCCUUGUCGGAUUGUAUUAACAAGAUUGUUUCGAGUUAAGUGAUUUUUCCUGGCUUGAGGUGCCAAUAAAGAGUUUAUUGAGCUGGUAUUGGAAUAUGUAAUGUGGGAACCGAUAAAGAUGUCAGUGACAGAUUCAUUGAAUUGGUGCAAGAAAGUGUAUAUGCUGGAGAGUAUAUAUUGGUGUUGAAUUAAAAGAAAGGCAGCAUAUACACUUUCUUGGGGUCAUUGGCAUUUCAUUAAAAUUGGUGCAGGGAAGUUUAUAUGUUGGAGAACAUAUAUGUUAAUAAACUUGGCUACUGAAUAAAUAGAAAGGCAGAAAUGAUGAUCAUACUAUGUAGGAGAUUGAAUAUAUCUUCUGGUUAAGGUGGAUGCUCUACCUAUAAGAUCUUGUCCGGGUUGGUUAUUAAAAGGAAGAGGGGUAUCAAGAGUCUUACGUUGUACUUGCAAGAAUAGGAAAGCCAACUGGUAAGUCUUAUGAUACAUUAACUUUGAUACAGUCAGUCAAAUUACUACUAUUGUGGUUUCAAUCAUCUGCCAACCACAUGGUAGAUUCAAUUUAAUACAGUCAGUUACUACCAUUGUGGUUUCAAUCAUCUGCCAACCACUUUGUGAGUUUCUUUGCUCCUAUGACUGCUCAAAAGACUAGAAAUGUGGUACUAGCUUUUACUCAGUAUGCAGCAGAAUGUCAAAUUGACCGCUUUUGUUGUAUUGCAUCUGUUGCUUUAACGGUUUUUAAACUAAGAUUGUUGCCUUCCGAUUAUGUUGGUCUCAAGUGAUUGUUGCCCAACUUGAUAUUCCAACGAAGCAAGUCAUUGACUGCUUAAAUUCCUUUAUCGGUUUUUUAAUUAAGAUGGUUGCCUUAUCGGUUUUUAAUUAAGAUGGUUGCCUUAUCGGUUUUAAAUUAAGAUUGUUGCCUUGUCCAAUUAUGAUAGUAAGCUUGUUGCCUUGUUGGAUUGUAUUAAAAAAUUUGUUGCGAGUUAAGUGAUUUUUCCUGACUUGAGGUGCCAACAAAGAGUUUAUUAAGCUGGUAUUGGAAUAGGUAAUGUGGGAACAGAUAAAAAUAUCAGUGACAUAUUCAUUGAAUUGGUGCAAGAAAGUCUAUAGGCUGGAGAGUAUAUCUUGGCUACAGAUAUAAAAGAAAGACAGAUAUAUUCGUUUUUGGUUUAAUUUAAUUUCAGAUAUAAUCGUUGCUUUGGGUUCGGGAUUUGCCCUUUGAUUAUCAAUCAGUGGGGAUUAGAUCUGGGUUGGUUAUCAAAGGGAAAAGGGGUAUUAAGUUAUCUUGCAUUGUACUUCCAAGAAUUGGCUUUACUGGUAAGUCUUAUAUGAUAAAUUGACUUUGAUACAGUCAGUCACAUUACUACUAUUGUGCCUUCAAUCAUCUGCCAACCACUUUAUGAGUUUGUUUGCUCCUAAGACUACAAAAAAGACUAGAAAUGUGGUACUAGCUCUUACUCUAGUAUCUAGCAAGAUGCCAAAGUCUUUGCUUUCACCAAUAAAGAAACUUUUAUGGCAUCUGCUGGGCUGUGACCUAUAAAAUUGAAGGACUGGUUUAUACCAAAAUGUAGUAGCUACGAUUCGGAUAGAAAUGAUAUACCCUAUCAAAACCUACAGUAGCCCAUUGAUGCAAUGAGUCAUUUCAAGGGAAAUGUAUCUUAGUAUUAAUGUUGUCUCACUUGUCUGCCAUCUCUGAGGCUGAUGAGUUUAAAAUCGGUGAAAAUUGAGUGUCUCUUACUGCUUGGUGCACAAAUGUUUAUCUUGCUUUGUCCUCACUCUUCGGCUUUCUUUACUCUUUACACUUUUAAAUUGUCAAACAUAAAUAAUACUCAAAGGGAGAACUGCAUCUGAUUCUAGCUGAGUAUAUGUUGCUUUGUGUAAUGGAUAUCAUCUCUUCUAUGUAUGCUGACAUGCAUAUGGAAAUACCAAAUUUGACACUGACAAGGACGAAAGCCAUUGCAAUGAUGUGUCUAUUUUGAAUGGAUAAUAGUCUUGAUUGGUCAUUUGGAAAGGUUUCCCUGAGUAACGCAUUCUGCAAACAUGUUGAUCUCAAGUUUCCUUUUCGGUUUAAAUUAUUUUGUUGCCACUCAAGUGACUUUGUGCAGCUUGAGGGGUACACACAGAACAAAUUGAGCCAGAAUUUCAUUGAAAAUUUGAGCUGCAUACCUUGAAAGAAAACACCAUUGAAGCCCCUGCAAGCAACUCAACGUUGAAGCUUAGUCAGCUGGACUGAUGGGGAUAUGUUGGGUUCCUCUCUCUCUCUCUCUCUCUCUCUCUCUCUCCCCCUUAUUCAAUUUUGAAUUUCAAAGUUUGGGUUGCCUUUGCCAACACAGAGAGAUUUAUUGGUUUAGCUUCGCCUUAGCUUCACCACCACUAGGGUUUUUGAUCUAUUAUAUUCAGACCCUUCGAUCUUGCCUCUCUUAAAUUAACUGGGCACUAUGACAGACAGUUUUAUGCAUGAAAAUCACAAUUCAAACACUGGCGCUCCCUCUUUUUUUGGGGUUGAGGAACCAUUUUUGACUGUGUUUCAUGCUGUCCCGGCCGAAAUUUGUUGUCACAUAGCUGUGAGCUUUUAAACACUAGUCCCAAUUGGUCCCUCGGAAAGACUGCCUUAUGAGAUUUACGUGUUCGUCUUAACUGAUUGUUGCCUAACUUGAGAUUCCAACAAAACAAAUCAGGGACUGCUCAAAUUGUUGCCUUAGCGAUAUUUCAAGUAAGAUUGUAGCCCUGUCCAAUUAUAUAUGUUGAACAAAUUGUUGCCUUGUCGGAUCUUAUUAAUCAGAUUGUUACUAUUCAAGUGAUUUGCCUGGCUUGAGGUGUCAACAAAGAACUUAGAUUCUUCCCUUUGAAAUAGGUGAUUUGGGAACGGAUAAAGAUUUAAAUGACAUAUUCUUGAAUUGGUCAAAGGAAGUCUAUAUGCUGGAGAUAUCUAUUAGUUAACUUGGCAACAUAAUAAAAAGAAGACAGAAUUCAGGAUCCUAUUAUGUAGGAGGUUCAAUACUUCAUCUGGUUUAGGUGGAUGUUCGACCUAUCAGAUGUUGUCUAGGUUGGUUAUCAAAGGGAAGAGGGUAUUUAGAGAUCUUCCAUUGAACUUGCAAUAAAUGGAAAGCCAAUUGGUAAGUCUUUUGGUGGAUUGACUUUGAUACAGUCAGUCACAUUACUACAAUUGUGGUUUCAAUCAUCUGCUCAUUACUCUGAGUUUGUUUGCUCCUAUGACUGAACAAAAAACUAAAAAUUUGAGCUGUUACUUUAGUAUCCAGCAAAAUGCCAAAUUGAGUGUUAUCACCAAUAAAGAAACUUGUAUUGCAUUUUCUGGGCUGUGACCUAUUACAUUGAAUGACUGGUUUAUACCAACAUGUAGUAGUUAUAAUUCGGUUAUAGAUGAAGUAUCCUAUCAAGCCUACAGUAUCCCAUCGAUGUAAUGAGUAUUAUAGUAGUUCUGUCAAGGGAAAUGCCAAAUUUGGUACUGAGGGGGAUGAAAGUCAUUGCAAGGAUGUGUCUAUUUCAAUGGAUGGUAUAGUCUUGAUUGGUCAUUUUGAAAGUUUUUCCUGAGGUUUAAAGCAUUCUGCAGACUUGUUGAUCUCUAGUGAUUUUGCGUAUCUUGAGGUUCUAACAAAACAAGUGGUUGACUGCUCAAAUUGUUGCCUUAUUGGUGUUUUAACUAUGAUUAUUGUUGCCUUGUCCAAUUAUGUUAAGAUUGUUGCCUUGUCGGACUGUGAUAAGAUUGUCCAAGUGAUUUUUCUUGGCUUGAAUUGGUGCAAUUGAGAUCAUAUCAUCUAUGUAAUGCUAAAUAUGCAUCUAAAAAAAAACCAAAUUCAGAACUGACGUGGACGAAAGACAUUGUAAGGAUGUCUCUAAUCCAAAGUGAUAACUGGUCUCGAUUGGUCAUAUGAAAAAUGUUUCCCUGAGACUAAAAGUAUCCUGCAAACAUGUUGAUCUCAAGUGAUUUUGCUCAACAUGAGGUUCCAACAAACCAGUCAUUGACUGCGCAGAUUGGUGCCUUCUUGGUUUAUGUUAGUAAAAUUGUUGGUAUUUUGAUCCUUUGACAUACCGACGUUAUUUCAAUCUCGCCAAUUGAUUCCAGUUUACAGUCUGUGACUUUUAAUUUUGCGUUGUUUGCUACUCAUUGUAUUCUAUGCUAGCCGCUGUAAUAAUUUUACAAGUUCUCUUUAGUAAUUUCAUGAUACUAUUCCAGAUUCACAUCAUUGCCCUUGGUGUACGUCUAGUCGGCGACUUCGGUAAGCUGCUCUCUUACUAAUAAACUUUGGUGAUGGUAUCAUUUCUAGGGCUGGUAGAUUUGAUGGCAUUAAGAAGUGGGUUAUAGAAAUGCUGUGACUUUUAUGUUAUAGGACUAUUGAUGUAGACAAAAUUCACAUUGACUGACAUUGUCCUGUGGUGUUGUUUAACUUAAUGCUCUCAUUGUGGUUGAUUUAUCCCCCUUGAUUUUUAUACUUUGUACUUAGCCUUCUGAUUGUGGUCAAUAGUAUCUUAUAUUAGAACAACACAUCAACUUUAAUAACUUGAAUAAAAUGUUCGCAGGUUCUUUCUUCUAUAUCUUUCCUGGUUGUUUUUUCUUGUGGUGUUGAUAUCUUUGCAAAUGAAGCCAAAGGAACUGUCCUAAUUCUUACUGGUUGCUUCGGACUGUUGAUAGUAUAUAAGAUGACCGUGAAAGGGCAAUUUAUAACGGAGUACACACGUACAAGGCAUUGUGGAAGAAUAGCUCAUAUUGUCCUUGGAGAUGCGGCUACUGAAUUGAAUUAGCUAGAAGGGCGAAGGAAUUCUUCUUGAAGGAAAUAUGGUAAAUCGUCUCUUCCUGGAACUCGUGUGUGUGUGUAUAUAUAUAUAUAUAUAUAUAUAUAUAUAUAUAUAUAUAUAAUGGUUAUCAGGUGUGGACAUCCGCGCAACUACAGCGCGGAUAGUAUCGGUUCUGCUCCCCUCUCCCGGCGCUACUAUCUAAGCUAGCCAAAGCUCCAGUGCUGGCCUACAACAGCCGGAAUCUGUAAAAUUUCAGAAAUUUCACUGAAACUUGCAGAUUCUAGAAUUUACAAAUUCCGGCCGUCCUGGGCCGGCGCAAUUAAUUGAGGGACAUUGGGACAAGAAUCCUUCACAGAUAGAAAUCAUCAAGGUUCCCUUAUACUGCUAAAAAUAAUGUCGAAGAUAAUAUAGAUUAUUAGAUAUACUCAGCCGAGUUACAGCUUCGGUUGUGAAAAUGCAUCCUUUUGAAGUUGCAAGAUAAGCCGAUUAGUGCAACUUUUAAUUUAAACUAAGUUAUUUUUGGUUAAAAGACACAUUCCGGUUGGAAUGUAAGUGAUAUCCUUUUCUAAAAAAUUCCAAAAUUUCUGUUUGUUACAAAGUAAAUGUGGCAAGGUUGCCAAUUGAUCCCUUAAUACUAAAAGUACUAAACUGAGGGAAUCCGUUAUUAUAAAGCAGUGAGUCUGAAGGGAGUAGUGCCAAUUGGUCUGUUGGAAAGGUUGCCUUUGAUAUUAUAAGCAUUUCAGUGAUAAGUUGGUCUCAAGUGAUUUUGCUCAACUUGGAGUUUCCAAUGGACUAGUCCUGACUUGCUCCAUAUGCUGCCUUGUCGGAUUAUGUUUAUUACUUUGUUGCAUUUUCAGAUUGUGUUAACAAGAUAAUUGGCACUCAAGUGAAAAUCCAAGAUACUUGCAAAGCCCUAAACCUAAAUUCUCUUUUGGUAUAACUCUAAACUCUAAGACAAGUCCGGGUUGGAAUUUGAGUGAUUUCCUUUAUUUAUCAGUUCCACAACUUCUUAUUGGUACAAAUUAACAAUUGUAGCGAGAUAGCCAAUUGAAACCCUAGCUUUUGAAGUUAAGGGUACUCACUUAAAAUAAUUUAUCUCUAUUCCUAUAAAGCGAGCAUGAGAGUACCACCAACUUAUAAACUGAAAGAUUUAUUUUUCUGCCAUCAGUUUCUUAUAAACAAACAUAAGGGUUGUAAGGUAAAAGUCAAAAUAAAAAAAGAACUUAAAAGAGAUAAUUGUGGAAACGAAGCAUGGGUAGUGUGUAGAGAGUAAUUAUGAUCAAAAUUAACUUCCAUGAAAAUAUUCAUGGGUAAAAGCUAGUUAUUUUAAAGCUCUUGAUAUUUAAUGCAUGUUUAGCAGUAAAGUUGGUCUCGAGUGAUCUUUCCCCAACUUGAGGUUCUAAUGGACUGGUGAGUGAUUGCUCAGAUUAUUGCCUUGUCGG